UGAUCCUGCCGGAGGCCACUGCUAUGGGGGUCCGACUAAGCCAUGCGAGUCAUGGGGCGCGCUCUGCGCGCACCGGCGGACGGCUCAGUAACACGUCGGUAACCUACCCUCGGGAGGGGGAUAACCCCGGGAAACUGGGGCUAAUCCCCCAUAGGCCUGAGGUACUGGAAGGUCCUCAGGCCGAAAGGGGCAUCUGCCCGCCCGAGGAUGGGCCGGCGGCCGAUUAGGUAGUUGGUGGGGUAACGGCCCACCAAGCCGAAGAUCGGUACGGGCCAUGAGAGUGGGAGCCCGGAGAUGGACACUGAGACACGGGUCCAGGCCCUACGGGGCGCAGCAGGCGCGAAACCUCCGCAAUGCGGGCAACCGCGACGGGGGGACCCCCAGUGCCGUGGAAUAGCCACGGCUUUUCCGGAGUGUAAAAAGCUCCGGGAAUAAGGGCUGGGCAAGGCCGGUGGCAGCCGCCGCGGUAAUACCGGCGGCCCGAGUGGUGGCCGCUAUUAUUGGGCCUAAAGCGUCCGUAGCCGGGCCCGUAAGUCCCUGGCGAAAUCCCACGGCUCAACCGUGGGGCUUGCUGGGGAUACUGCGGGCCUUGGGACCGGGAGAGGCCGGGGGUACCCCUGGGGUAGGGGUGAAAUCCUAUAAUCCCAGGGGGACCGCCAGUGGCGAAGGCGCCCGGCUGGAACGGGUCCGACGGUGAGGGACGAAGGCCAGGGGAGCGAACCGGAUUAGAUACCCGGGUAGUCCUGGCUGUAAAGGAUGCGGGCUAGGUGUCGGGCGAGCUUCGAGCUCGCCCGGUGCCGGAGGGAAGCCGUUAAGCCCGCCGCCUGGGGAGUACGGCCGCAAGGCUGAAACUUAAAGGAAUUGGCGGGGGAGCACUACAAGGGGUGGAGCGUGCGGUUUAAUUGGAUUCAACGCCGGGAACCUCACCGGGGGCGACGGCAGGAUGAAGGCCAGGCUGAAGGUCUUGCCGGACACGCCGAGAGGAGGUGCAUGGCCGCCGUCAGCUCGUACCGUGAGGCGUCCACUUAAGUGUGGUAACGAGCGAGACCCGCGCCCCCAGUUGCCAGUCCUCCCCGCUGGGGAGGAGGCACUCUGGGGGGACCGCCGGCGAUAAGCCGGAGGAAGGAGCGGGCGACGGUAGGUCAGUAUGCCCCGAAACCCCCGGGCUACACGCGCGCUACAAUGGGCGGGACAAUGGGAUCCGACCCCGAAAGGGGAAGGGAAUCCCCUAAACCCGCCCUCAGUUCGGAUCGCGGGCUGCAACUCGCCCGCGUGAAGCUGGAAUCCCUAGUACCCGCGUGUCAUCAUCGCGCGGCGAAU
Molecule: ribosomal RNA, 1320 nt
Filed under: Thermococcus peptonophilus
Lineage: Archaea; Methanobacteriati; Methanobacteriota; Thermococci; Thermococcales; Thermococcaceae
Also listed under: 1 other name
Description: bacterial SSU rRNA
Rfam family: Archaeal small subunit ribosomal RNA
Source: RNAcentral